GACGAACGCUGGCGGCGUGCUUAACACAUGCAAGUCGAACGGUGAUGCUCCAGCUUGCUGGCGUGGAUCAGUGGCGAACGGGUGAGUAACACGUGAGCAACCUGCCCCAGACUCUGGAAUAAGCGCUGGAAACGGCGUCUAAUACUGGAUACGAAACUGGCCCGCAUGGGCAUGGUUUGGAAAGUUUUUCGGUUUGGGAUGGGCUCGCGGCCUAUCAGCUUGUUGGUGAGGUAAUGGCUCACCAAGGCGACGACGGGUAGCCGGCCUGUGAGGGCGACCGGCCACACUGGGACUGAGACACGGCCCAGACUCCUACGGGAGGCAGCAGUGGGGAAUAUUGCACAAUGGGCGAAAGCCUGAUGCAGCGACGCCGCGUGAGGGAUGACGGCCUUCGGGUUGUAAACCUCUUUCAGCAGGGAAGAAGCGAAAGUGACGGUACCUGCAGAAGAAGCACCGGCUAACUACGUG
Molecule: ribosomal RNA, 468 nt
Filed under: uncultured bacterium
Lineage: Bacteria
Description: partial 16S ribosomal RNA
Rfam family: Bacterial small subunit ribosomal RNA
Source: RNAcentral